This is a non-coding RNA of Pteropus alecto (black flying fox), 73 nucleotides long. NCBI's taxonomy places the organism in Eukaryota, Metazoa, Chordata, Mammalia, Chiroptera, Pteropodidae. The record is from Rfam.
GGUUCCAUAGCAUAGCAGUUAGCACAUCUGUUUUACACACAGAAGGUCUUGAGUUCGUGCCCCAGUGAAGCCA